AAAUUUUUGACCGUAAAUUGGCGGCGUGCGUGAAUAUUAGCACUUUUGCUCCAAUUGUGGCUAAACGGCAACGCUGGUUGUAGGGUGGAUCAGAUACAAGCGCCUAUCUGAUAGAUACGAAGGUCAGUUGGCGCCCGCAUGCCGAACUGAUAACUGGAAAGUUGCAAAGUCUUAUAUUUCCGCGCAUAUGUACAUAAACCCACAUUCAUACAUUCAUACAUCUGUGUUUACUAUAGGCAUACAACAGUGAAAUAAUGUGAGGAAAACAUAGAUCACACUUUGAAAUACAUUUUUUAUACAGUGCAGUGGAAGCCAAACAAAAAAGUAGGUGCUCAUAACUUUAUAUGAAAUACGCGUUGUGAAAGCGGUCAUGCAAACUGGUUCCGAGAUAUUUUAUUGGUGCGCUCACGGUUCUUUGUUGCGUCGUUUUCGCUGGCGGUUUCGACAUCGGAUUUCAGGUGUUUUAUUAUGACACUCAAAUAUAUGUAACUAAAUUUUAUUAAAUAAAUUUCAAUGAAUUAUACAAU
Rhagoletis pomonella (apple maggot) is the source of this 527-nucleotide long non-coding RNA. RefSeq lists it as uncharacterized. NCBI's taxonomy places the organism in Eukaryota, Metazoa, Arthropoda, Insecta, Diptera, Tephritidae. The transcript is spliced from 3 exons. The record is from RefSeq and is a predicted model, not a curated record.